GGAUUAGAUACCCUGGUAGUCCACGCCAUAAACGAUGGAUACUUGUCGUUGGAGGUAUUGACCCCUUCAGUGACGAAGCUAACGCGUUAAGUAUCCCGCCUGGGGAGUACGGUCGCAAGAUUAAAACUCAAAGAAAUUGACGGGGGCCCGCACAAGCGGUGGAUCAUGUGGUUUAAUUCGAUGCAACGCGAAGAACCUUACCUGGGCUUGACAUGUACUGGAAGGGUGGCAGAAAUGCUCCCGCCCGCAAGGGCCAGUAUACAGGUGCUGCAUGGCUGUCGUCAGCUCGUGCCG
RNAcentral lists this ribosomal RNA (294 nucleotides) under uncultured bacterium. RNAcentral's name for it is "partial 16S ribosomal RNA". It matches the Rfam family "Bacterial small subunit ribosomal RNA", at positions 775 to 1067 of the family's 1533-position model. The record is from RNAcentral.